GAAAAGGUCUCCAGCCAUUUCCUUGGAUUACUGUUAUUUUUCUGAAGAGAAUACUAUACAAAUCAAAAAAACAUGCUUUAGAGCAUUAUGGGCUUCUAGUAAUAAUGAUGCCAGGAAAAUAACUGUGAACUGUGACCGUCCUGAUCAAACUGGUUGUAGAAAUGACAGUUUUUCUCUGUAGUUCUACCAACUUUUGAUUUAUGCAUCUUUGAGAUUAUUUUAUUAGGUAAGUACAUGUAUUUUAUGUACCUGAUAAAUUGACUUUGCAAAACAGAGGUAAUAGUACAGUAUCUACCUUAACAUGGUGGUGAUAAUAUAAAUUAACAUCAAAUCACUAAGAAAACAGUACAUUGUAAGUACUACCUACAUGGCUGGCUUAA
RNAcentral lists this long non-coding RNA (380 nucleotides) under Zalophus californianus (California sea lion). RNAcentral's name for it is "lncRNA (ENSZCAG00015008578.1)". The record is from RNAcentral. Lineage: Eukaryota; Metazoa; Chordata; Mammalia; Carnivora; Otariidae.